AUUGAACGCUGGCGGCAGGCUUAACACAUGCAAGUCGAGCGGGGUGAUGGUGCUUGCACUAUCACUUAGCGGCGGACGGGUGAGUAAUGCUUAGGAAUCUGCCUAUUAGUGGGGGACAACCUCUCGAAAGGGAUGCUAAUACCGCAUACGUCCUACGGGAGAAAGCAGGGGAUCACUUGUGACCUUGCGCUAAUAGAUGAGCCUAAGUCGGAUUAGCUUGUUGGUGGGGUAAAGGCCUACCAAGGCGACGAUCUGUAGCGGGUCUGAGAGGAUGAGCUGCCACACUGGGACUGAGACACGGCCCAGACGCCUACGGGAGGGAGCAGUGGGGAAUAUUGGACAAUGGGGGGAACCCUGAUCCAGCCAUUCCGCGUGUGUGAAGAAGGCCUUAUGGUUGUAAAGCACUUUAAGCGAGGAGGAGGCUCUUUUGGUUAAUACCCAAGAUGAGUGGACGUUACUCGCAGAAUAAGCACCGGCUAACUCUGUGCCAGCCGCCGCCGUAA
RNAcentral lists this ribosomal RNA (503 nucleotides) under uncultured bacterium. RNAcentral describes it as "partial 16S ribosomal RNA". It matches the Rfam family "Bacterial small subunit ribosomal RNA", at positions 30 to 523 of the family's 1533-position model. The record is from RNAcentral.